Non-coding RNA from Malus domestica (apple), 992 nucleotides. NCBI's taxonomy places the organism in Eukaryota, Viridiplantae, Streptophyta, Magnoliopsida, Rosales, Rosaceae. The record is from RefSeq and is a predicted model, not a curated record.
UUUUAAUUCAUUUAUAUUUUGUUUUGUUGGGUGAUGCAGUUUGAUCAAAUCGGUUGAAUUGAAUAAUCCUUGAAGUGACAAGAAGGAACUGACUAAGCAAGUAAUAAUUCUUAAUUACUUACAUGUUUUCAUUUUAAUUUAUGAUUUGAUUGGCCCUUUCUUAUAUAAAUUUUGAGCUCCAUAAUCAUUGGACCAUUGACAUGUUAUGAGUGCUGACUAGUUUAUGUGUGUAAAUAUAGUGUAUGGGUGUUAAGUACUUCAGAUGUUAUUGACGAUCUCAGAAGGGAAGGGGCAUCCCCUUCUUCUUCUCCUUUUUCUUUUCUCUUGAAUUCUCUCUCAAAAAACUAAACCACGGCCGCCAAGUUUCUUAUCCCUAAUCGUCGAUCUCCUCAGGUUUGCACCAAGCCAGCGAAGGAAUCAGGGGAACGGAGCUGAGACUGUCAGAGAUGAUAGAAAUUGACCCCGAGUUCAAACUGAAACGAUAUGAUUAUUUUCGUUAUGCACAAUGCAUUUAUGAAAUUUCUCAUUUUGAUGAGUGGGAUCGCCAGUUUCCUCCACCUUUUAUGUCGCUCACCGCUUCACUGCAAAUAAGAUUAAACCAGAUCCCUUCCAAGUUUCAGCCACCGCUACCACCAGGACCUCAGCUAUCUUUCCAUUGUUCCUCAAAACUUUCAUAUUGGUACAUAAGCUCAACUCUGAUUCUAUUUCAAACCCAAAGAUUGAUUAUGUUUACUCUUUUUUCUCUGUUAUUUAGUAAACUUUCCCAACCGUCACAAAAUGAUUUAUAAGAUUAGGAAUUGAUAGAACAAUAGUUGUUAAACAUUGUGGCAUUUGAAAGUCCUUCUGUGAUUAAGAUGUGUAUUUUUUUUAAUUACAAUUUAGGUGUGGAAAAUUUGAAUUUAAUUUGUGCAUGUUUCGUUUUUUUUUCUACCCAGCUAACAAUCUGUUGCUUGGAGUUCAUCCUUUUGAUUGUACACUAGCUCUUGAUGUCA